RNAcentral lists this ribosomal RNA (467 nucleotides) under uncultured bacterium. Its description in RNAcentral is "partial 16S ribosomal RNA". It matches the Rfam family "Bacterial small subunit ribosomal RNA", at positions 28 to 506 of the family's 1533-position model. The record is from RNAcentral.
GACGAACGCUGGCGGCGUGCUUAACACAUGCAAGUCGAACGGAAAGGCCCUGCUUUUGUGGGGUGCUCGAGUGGCGAACGGGUGAGUAACACGUGAGUAACCUGCCCUUGACUUUGGGAUAACUUCAGGAAACUGGGGCUAAUACCGGAUAGGAGCUCCUGCUGCAUGGUGGGGGUUGGAAAGUUUCGGCGGUUGGGGAUGGACUCGCGGCUUAUCAGCUUGUUGGUGGGGUAGUGGCUUACCAAGGCUUUGACGGGUAGCCGGCCUGAGAGGGUGACCGGCCAAAUGGGGACUGAGAGACGGCCCAGACGCAUACGGGAGGGAGCAGUGGGGAAUAUUGCACAAUGGGCGGAAGCCUGAUGCAGCAACGCCGCGUGCGGGAUGACGGCCUUCGGGUUGGAAACCGAUUUCGCCUGUGACGAAGCGUGAGUGACGGUAAUGGGUAAAGAAGCACCGGCUAACUACGU